UUCGGCCUUAGUGGCGCACGGGUGCGUAACGCGUGGGAAUCUGCCCUUGGGUUCGGAAUAACAGUUAGAAAUGACUGCUAAUACCGGAUGAUGACGAAAGUCCAAAGAUUUAUCGCCCAGGGAUGAGCCCGCGUAGGAUUAGGUAGUUGGUGGGGUAAAGGCCUACCAAGCCGACAAUCCUUAGCUGGUCUGAGAGGAUGAUCAGCCACACUGGGACUGAGACACGGCCCAGACUCCUACGGGAGGCAGCAGUGGGGAAUAUUGGACAAUGGGGGCAACCCUGAUCCAGCCAUGCCGCGUGAGUGAUGAAGGCCUUCGGGUUGUAAAGCUCUUUUGGCGGGGACGAUGAUGACGGUACCCGCAGAAUAAGCCCCGGCUAACUUCGUGCCAGCAGCCGCGGCAAGACGAAGGGGGCUAGCGUUGUUCGGAAUUACUGGGCGUAAAGCG
RNAcentral lists this ribosomal RNA (447 nucleotides) under uncultured Alphaproteobacteria bacterium. RNAcentral describes it as "bacterial SSU rRNA". It matches the Rfam family "Bacterial small subunit ribosomal RNA", at positions 85 to 567 of the family's 1533-position model. The record is from RNAcentral. Lineage: Bacteria; Pseudomonadati; Pseudomonadota; Alphaproteobacteria.